AUUGAACGCUGGCGGCAGGCCUAACACAUGCAAGUAGAACGAGAGGCGGACGGGUGAGUAAUGUAUGGGGAACUGCCAGAUGGAGGGGGAUAACUACUGGACACGGUAGCUAAUACCGCAUACCAUCGGAUGACCCCAUAUGGGAUUAGCUGGUAGGUAAGGUAACGGCUCACCUAGGCGACGAUCCCUAGCUGGUCUGAGAGGAUGACCAGCCAUACUGGGACUGAGACACGGCCCAGACUCCUACGGGAGGCAGCAGUGGGGAAUAUUGCACAAUGGGCGCAAGCCUGAUGCAGCCAUGCCGCAUGUAUGAAGAAGGCCUUCGGGUUGUAAAGUACUUUCAGUCGGGAGGCGUUACCGACAGAAGAAGCACCGGCUAACUCCGUGCCAGCAGCCGCGGUAAUUC
RNAcentral lists this ribosomal RNA (406 nucleotides) under uncultured bacterium. Its description in RNAcentral is "partial 16S ribosomal RNA". It matches the Rfam family "Bacterial small subunit ribosomal RNA", at positions 30 to 526 of the family's 1533-position model. The record is from RNAcentral.